Long non-coding RNA from Carassius gibelio (silver crucian carp), 4772 nucleotides. RefSeq lists it as uncharacterized. The transcript is spliced from 3 exons. The record is from RefSeq and is a predicted model, not a curated record. Lineage: Eukaryota; Metazoa; Chordata; Actinopteri; Cypriniformes; Cyprinidae.
GUGCUUAUUCUUUUGGCACUAGUAUCUUUUGUAAAGUUACUAGUACUUAAUCAUUAGAUACUUGUACUUAUUCAUUAGAUACUAGUGCUUAUUUAUUAGGUACUUGUACUUAUUCAUUAGAUACUAGUACUUAUUUAUUAGGUACUAGUACUUAUUUAUUAGGUACUAGUACUUAUUUAUUAGGUAUUUAUUAAUUAGAUACUAGUACUUAUUUAUUAGAUACCAGUAUUUAUUUAUUACACAGUAAAAAACAUUGGGUUGUUUUUUUUAACCUAACCGCUGGGUUACACAUAUUGGGUCAAUGUGUUGGGUUAUGUUAAAAUUUGUUUGGUCAUUUUUUUUUCGCCGUUGGGUUAUUUUUAGUUAUAAACCAACUGUUGGAAUAAAUAUGUUUCCCGCUUCACUCCGUUCAAAUUUUAACGGUCCAGUCAGCGACUCAGCACAGACAUCAGCGGCAGCCUGCAUGAUUAUGAAGGGUAAGUAAUUGUUAAUAUAAUCUAAUGAUGUAUAUAACUGUUGUAAUAUUAAGUAAUGUUUCUGAUACGUUAAUUAUAAUUUUUUUAUACGUUAAAAAAGUUUAUUCCCUUUAGUCCGUUUGUUUCCCCCAGAGAAUCAGAUCGAUUGUAAAUGAAUGCUAUUCCUGUUUGUUUGCCAGCAUUAAUACAUUACAAAACAGCUGCGCUGUUGACACCUAAUUUAUUUACUUUAUAUCUUCAAGACUUAAAUCUUUCCACAUUAUUGCUGUUACUGUAUUUGGUUGCGUUGUUGCAAAACUUAAUUGUUAACUUUUCAUGAUUAUGAGGCUUUUAACUGACUAAAGUUAUGAUUAAUGACUUUAUAUAUUUGAAUGUUUGAUUGACAUGACACCAUUACGUUAUCGCCGACGACAUCAUUACGUCGAACUUCCCAUCACUAUUGAAUGAACCUGCAAUUUUCUGUUAUAAAUGUCCAAAACCCAGAUGAAAGAAAAGCGCACAGUCAUGAGGCAAUCCGCUCUUUAAGCGAAAAUUUAUACCAGUGCCCCAAAUUUACAUAACGUUACUCCUACAAACAACCUUUAAGAGGGGAGCGUAAAACAGAAGUCAUAGCCGUCUUAGCGCACCAGCCCUAAUUAAUUGUACAGUAAAAGUGUUUUAAUGGUUUAUUCAUAUUGAAUAUUGUUAAGCAUCUAUUAGAAUACCCUAUAAUUACAGCAAUUUCUCUUAUGAAGCUAGAUUGAUUGACAUGUUUUUUAAAUGUGUUGUAAUAAAUGUGUUUUUACUUAUGUUUUAGACAAUGGACUUUUUCGUGAAGAAAAAAUUGCAACAAUAAAAUUUCUGCCUGUUAACCGAAACAUUUCAAGGCCUUCGUGCAGAAAUUGUCUUUAAAACCCUUCCUGCCAUCUGGACCAUACCACACAAAUGGAAAAAUGGUGUGCACAUCAUACAUGGAAAUGAAUCGGUCUUUCAUUGACAUUCAUCCUGUUGGCACUAAUUAUUGCUGUACUUGAAUCAUGAGACAAGCCAGAAUCCACAUGUCCUGGUGCUUGGUGAAAAGGAAAACUCCUCCCAAGUUUUUAUUAUUUUAAAACGGGGAGGAAACAUAUGACUAAGGCAACCAGCUUCAGCAGAUUUUUGAGUUUACUCAACUUAAAGGUCAAUUAGUUGUACAAACUUUUGUGCAUGUUAAAUCAACAUAAUAUAUUAAGUAGAGGUGGGCAUAGAUUAUAGAUUUAAUCUAGAUUAAUCUCACUGUGAUCUUGAAAUUAAUCUAGAUUAAUCUAGAUUAAUCUAUUUUAAAAUGGCUCAUUCGAAUUCUGCCGACGGCAUUCAGAAUAUGUGUGUUACCCAAAUAAAACUGACAAACAGUAAGUCUUUGAGAAGAGGUUUAUCAAGCUAGAUGGUGCAUUAGAAAUGUACAUCUCCUGUUUCUAAAAUGCAUCACAAACUGCUUGAAAAAGCUGUAAACUAAUUCCACAUUGCACAAGCGGGGACCCGGUGAAGGUUGUACCAGUGGGCCCUGUUUGAAAUUGUCUAAUUUGUAUGUUCAUUUAUUUUUAUUUAUUUGUGCUAUUUACACAAUGUUUAAGGUUUUUUCAAGUUUGUAGGUGUCAAGUUACAGAAACUAAAUAAUUAAAUGUAAAAAAGCACUGGAUAGUCUUCAAUGUAAAAAUGAAAUAUACAAUGAAACCUACAUUUAUUCAGACACCUUUAACAUUUCUCACAUUAUUACAGUUUUGCUAUAUAUAUCAAAAAAUAUAUCUGGUGUCUGAAUAAUUUUUGGUUUGACUGUUAAAACUACAAAGUAGUCAAGAGCAGUGAGUGAUUUUCAUUUUCUUGGAUUAACAUUACAGCAGCCAGUAGCUAAAUUAGGCGCGGUCACUUUAAGAGAUGAUGAACACAUCCAAUUUAAUACACAUCCCAUUUUUUUCCUCAACUGUUUACUUUCACUUAAGAAAUAACUGACUGUUUUUUCGAGCAUAAUUUCCAAGGUGGAUAUUUUGACAUAUUUCGUAUGUAUUUGUCGGCACUAGAGCAAAAAUAAGCAAAUUCGAUGUUCAAGUGUUUUGAUCAAAACACUUGAAAACACUUAUUUUUUGUGUCUCGAGACGCCUUUCUCUGCGUGAACCCUGAACACCAGAACACCGCAAGUACUGAAUUAAGCUCUUUCACAUCUUGUUGUUUGUUUCAAACUGCGAUUUGUAUUUGUUCGUUCCGGUGCAGGAGGGACUUCGAGGAGAACUUCGCAGAAGAGAGCACGGUUCAGUGUCGCUGUCCGUUAGGCUGGCUUCAGCCAGUCGGUUAUAUAAAAUAUCAAGGUGAAAGUCAUCAUAGCUCGCUUAGUAUAGACCCAGCUCCCAACCCAACUUUGAGAAUAGAUUAACGGCGAUAUUUUUUUUAUCGCCCGAUAAGAGUCUUGCGUUAACGCAGCACGCCCACCACUAAUAUUAAGUUAAGUGAACUUUUAGUUAAACUUCCAAUUUUGUGUUUAGUUGACUAGAAAUAUAUUUUUAAAUGAUAAAAACUCCAUAAGUUUACAAAACCUGAUAGUUGAAGUUGCUUUAAAAAAAAAACAUGACAAAACUUAAGUUUAAGGCAACCAGCUGCCGAAGGUUUUUGAGCUCUCAUAUUAUUAUUAUAUAUUUUUUUUACAGUGCAGCUUCAGAACUUUAAGUUUUACUCAAGCAGUUUAAAGUUCAGCACAAAACUCUCAAUCCAAUAUGAGUGAAUUAAUUUAUUAUAGAAUCACAAUUUUUUUUUAUUUCAUCAUUAUGAUUAUUUUAUUUUUUUUGUAGAACAGCAAUUUAAAUCACAAAUUUAAAUUCGUUUGAAUGAUAGUGAUGUCAGAUUCGCGAACAAAUCGUUCAAUUUAACCGGUUCUUCUUACUGGUUGAACCAGUUCACCAAAUCGAACUGAAUCGUUUGUAACGGUUCGCGUCUCCAAUAAGCAUUAAUUUUUAAAUUACUUAAGCUGUUAACUUUUUUAAUGUGGCUGACACUCCCUCUGAGUUCAAACAAACCAAUAUCCCGGAGUAAUUCAUGUACUCAAACAGUACACUGACUGAACUGCUGUGAAGAGAGAACUGAAAAUGCAAACCGAGUCGAGCCAGAUAACAAACAAUAGACUGACUCAUUCUUGAUUUGUUACGUAUCCUCACGCUUUUUAUCCUUGGCCUUUUCUAGUGGGAAUACUGCGUAUCACGUAGACUACACCUCUUUGCAGAUGCACUUUCAUGCGAGUUAAAGUUCCACACUAGGCUAACGUUACAUAGUUUUGCUUCAGGUAGAAUGAUAAGGCUAAUUAUAUAUGCUGGCCACUUUCUAAAAGAACCUUACACAGUUUAGAUAAAGUUAAUAAUGAACACAAUGUUAACGUAGCCUGCCUGUGAUGAAAUGCCGACUGCACACAUACACAUGCUUAGUCUUGUGAUUCCACAACUUCCCUUGAUCAUCCUCACAAUUUGUUGCUUGUAGCCAUUUUGUCCUCCUUUCCAAUUCUGUAUGUUUAUAAGGAAGGAUGUAGAACUUCAAUUCAUAAUUUGUUAGUUUAUUGGAGGUACAGAAAACAACACAACAACUCUUCUUGCAUGAUUUUCCCGUGUAUUUCAAUUGGCGCCAUGGCAAUGUUUUCCCCCCACGGGCUAAAUUCACAUCACGUGACGGGGGGUUCCCGGGGGCGUUCCCAGACCAACCAUCUGUAUCUAUGAUCACGGCUAUCAAAGUGAACACGUCUAUAAGAAUAGAGAGAGUGGAUUAUUUACUUUGGCACAUUUGUGUUAUUACCAUCUGUAUAAGUGGCCAUCAGCGCUUAUUUGCAUUGUAAUUCAUAGUAAAUGCUGCAUUUCUAGCAAUCUCAGGAUUUUCUGGAACUGGCAAACAAAGUUAAAUCUUUUUUUUUUCUUGUUAUUCUUAUUUUUUUUACUCAAAUUAUUCUUAUUGUAUUUUUCUAGUGCUCAAAUAAAUCACUUAUAUGAUGUCUAAGUUUCUGUCUAGUGUUUUAUAAUGAAAAAAAACUAUGCAGUGGUAUUUUUACUGACUAAAUAGUUUGUAGAAGCCUUCAAUACUGUUGGUAAAUAUGUUUAUAUUUGGGGGGUGGGCAGUGUAGACAUAGUCUCAUACAAAUAUUUGCAGUCUCAUUUUUCAUGAUAUCUUAUUCAGAUUUGAAAUAGAAACUCAUGAGACAUGUGACUUUCAACCCAUUACUUUUCUAGAUUGCUCCAGGUAUAAUUUCAUGUAUUUUCAUAUCAAAUAAAAAAACAUUUAAGUGUGGUAAAAAAAAAAAAAAGAAAAGAA